Zea mays is the source of this 447-nucleotide RNA transcript. RefSeq lists it as uncharacterized. The transcript is spliced from 3 exons. Lineage: Eukaryota; Viridiplantae; Streptophyta; Magnoliopsida; Poales; Poaceae. The record is from RefSeq and is a predicted model, not a curated record.
UCAGGUGCCCAAAAGCUGAACAGAGCUGAGCUUGAAGUCGCCUGUGAAGAUUUUAGCAACAUCAACACUUUUCCUACAUGUACCGUGUUCAAGGGCAUAUUAUCAGGCGGGGUCGAGAUCAGCAUUGUCUCCACUGUCAUAUCGUCGAGCAAAGACUGGUCCAGGAGCGCAGAAACAUGCUUCAAGAAAAAGCUUAUGUCCAUAAUUCUUCAAGUCUGCAUAUGACUGCAUCAUUCUUCAGCCUUCUAGACUCCUUCCACUUCUGCCCCCUCGGAUACAAGGACUUCCCAGACUUAGGUAACACAACCUCUUCUCUUCUUUCAACAUGUUGUCAUGUUGUGCUUGAGUUAUGGUACAACUGGAGUUGGGUGAAAGCGACAUGGAGCCUUGAAGUGGUAGGUACCAGCUUUCACAUGUCCUCCGGGUCUGAAGUUUCUUGUGUUUGUC